RNAcentral lists this non-coding RNA (26 nucleotides) under Cricetulus griseus (Chinese hamster). Lineage: Eukaryota; Metazoa; Chordata; Mammalia; Rodentia; Cricetidae. The record is from RNAcentral.
AUGUAACUCUAAUGAGGCAGGUGAUC